RNAcentral lists this small RNA (28 nucleotides) under Bombyx mori (domestic silkworm). Its description in RNAcentral is "ovarian small RNA-14980". The record is from RNAcentral. Lineage: Eukaryota; Metazoa; Arthropoda; Insecta; Lepidoptera; Bombycidae.
CUUCAAAAUAAAGCACGCCAACACCGGA